This 256-nucleotide ribosomal RNA is filed under the name uncultured Gardnerella sp. RNAcentral describes it as "partial 16S ribosomal RNA". It matches the Rfam family "Bacterial small subunit ribosomal RNA", at positions 99 to 354 of the family's 1533-position model. Lineage: Bacteria; Bacillati; Actinomycetota; Actinomycetes; Bifidobacteriales; Bifidobacteriaceae. The record is from RNAcentral.
CGAACGGGUGAGUAAUGCGUGACCAACCUGCCCCGUGCUCCAGAAUAGCUCUUGGAAACGGGUGGUAAUGCUGGAUGCUCCAACUUGACGCAUGUCUUGUUGGGAAAGUGUUUAGUGGCAUGGGAUGGGGUCGCGUCCUAUCAGCUUGUAGGCGGGGUAAUGGCCCACCUAGGCUUCGACGGGUAGCCGGCCUGAGAGGGCGGACGGCCACAUUGGGACUGAGAUACGGCCCAGACUCCUACGGGAGGCAGCAGGA